GUACGUUGGUAGCACAUAUCCUAAAAUUGGAACAAUACAGAGAUGAUUAGCAUGGCUCCUGUGCAAGGAUAACAUGCUAAUUCAUGAAGCAUUCUAUAUUCUA
Molecule: small nuclear RNA, 103 nt
Organism: Lontra canadensis (Northern American river otter)
Lineage: Eukaryota; Metazoa; Chordata; Mammalia; Carnivora; Mustelidae
Source: RefSeq, a predicted model, not a curated record